This 459-nucleotide ribosomal RNA is filed under the name uncultured bacterium. RNAcentral's name for it is "partial 16S ribosomal RNA". It matches the Rfam family "Bacterial small subunit ribosomal RNA", at positions 338 to 795 of the family's 1533-position model. The record is from RNAcentral.
CCUACGGGAGGCAGCAGUGAGGAAUAUUGGUCAAUGGCCGGGAGGCUGAACCAGCCAAGUCGCGUGAGGGAAGACGGCCCUACGGGUUGUAAACCUCUUUUGUCAGGGAGCAAGGUGCAGGUCGGGACCUGCUGUGAGAGUACCUGAAGAAAAAGCAUCGGCUAACUCCGUGCCAGCAGCUGCGGUAAUACGGAGGAUGCGAGCGUUAUCCGGAUUUAUUGGGUUUAAAGGGUGCGCAGGCGGAGGCACAAGUCAGCGGUAAAAUCGCGGGGCUCAACCCCGCUCCGCCGUUGAAACUGUGGCCCUUGAGUGCGCGAAGGGUAGGCGGAAUGCGUGGUGUAGCGGUGAAAUGCAUAUAUAUCACGCAGAACUCCGACCGCGAAGGCAGCCUACCGGCGCGCAACUGACGCUCAUGCACGAAAGCGUGGGUAUCGAACAGGAUUAGAUACCCUUGUAGUC